CCCUGGCUCAGGAUGAACGCUGGCGGCGUGCCUAAUACAUGCAAGUCGAGCGAAUGGAUUAAGAGCUUGCUCUUAUGAAGUUAGCGGCGGACGGGUGAGUAACACGUGGGUAACCUACCCAUAAGACUGGGAUAACUCCGGGAAACCGGGGCUAAUACCGGAUAAUAUUUUGAACUGCAUAGUUCGAAAUUGAAAGGCGGCUUCGGCUGUCACUUAUGGAUGGACCCGCGUCGCAUUAGCUAGUUGGUGAGGUAACGGCUCACCAAGGCAACGAUGCGUAGCCGACCUGAGAGGGUGAUCGGCCACACUGGGACUGAGACACGGCCCAGACUCCUACGGGAGGCAGCAGUAGGGAAUCUUCCGCAAUGGACGAAAGUCUGACGGAGCAACGCCGCGUGAGUGAUGAAGGCUUUCGGGUCGUAAAACUCUGUUGUUAGGGAAGAACAAGUGCUAGUUGAAUAAGCUGGCACCUUGACGGUACCUAACCAGAAAG
RNAcentral lists this ribosomal RNA (493 nucleotides) under Bacillaceae bacterium CL6.77. Its description in RNAcentral is "bacterial SSU rRNA". It matches the Rfam family "Bacterial small subunit ribosomal RNA", at positions 17 to 490 of the family's 1533-position model. Lineage: Bacteria; Bacillati; Bacillota; Bacilli; Caryophanales; Bacillaceae. The record is from RNAcentral.